CUCUUAAUUACUAUACUGUGAUUUUGAGAGAAAGGAUUUUACUAUUACAUACCUCAAAAGCACCGGUCGAAUCGAUUCGAGCCAGUGGUCGUUAUGAUUUUAUUGUUGAACAUGAUGUGAAAGAACUCGGAGCUCAUAUGUGAAUUUUUCUUUUUAAUCUAAUGCGCGCGCGUGAUGCACAUACAGUGGUUUUGUUGUUUGAUGGUAGUGUGUGGUGUUGUGAUCUGUAGGUUGGUUUGUACUGCAUUGUAUAGUGAUGGUAAUGGUGAAAGGAAGUAUCUUCCGCAGUUAUUCAAGUUUAUUGUUGCUAAUUCGCUUUCACGUAGGACUAAGGUCCGCGUUUUCAAGGAAACUACAUACUUGGAGGCAUGCAUUGAGAGUCACACAAAUACAAAUCUUUAUAUGGACCAAGUUGAGUUUGAGCCUGCUCCAAAUUGGAUGCAAAAAUUCUAAAAGCUGAUAAACAAAAAUCUGAGGAUGAUUCUCCAUCCAUGGAAAUAUUCAAGCCACCUGUCCUUGUUACAUCUGAUGGAGGAAUUCACAUCUAUCUUUACCCAUUGUCAUUGUCUUCGCAUGGUUCACACACAGCAAUGUUCUUGGUAAGUUUUGGAUAACAUGGCGCACAAAUUUAGGUGAACCCAGUUGCUUACAGAUACAGCAAAUACUUGGCACUGUGAGUGUGUUGCUAUGGUAG
Populus trichocarpa (black cottonwood) is the source of this 694-nucleotide RNA transcript. RefSeq lists it as uncharacterized. The transcript is spliced from 4 exons. Lineage: Eukaryota; Viridiplantae; Streptophyta; Magnoliopsida; Malpighiales; Salicaceae. The record is from RefSeq and is a predicted model, not a curated record.